Molecule: ribosomal RNA, 312 nt
Filed under: uncultured Gigaspora
Lineage: Eukaryota; Fungi; Glomeromycota; Glomeromycetes; Diversisporales; Gigasporaceae
Description: LSU rRNA
Source: RNAcentral
UUGAAAGGGAAACGAUUGAAGUCAGUCAUGCCUGUGGGAAUCAACUUAGAGGAAACUCUGAGUGCACUUCUUCGCUUGGCAGGUCAACGUCGAUUUUGGAUGUCAUAGGUUAAUUGGGGGAAGGUAGCUCCUUCGGGAGUGUUAUAGCCCUUGGUAGAUGUGAUGUCUGGGAUGGAGGAUUGCAAUGGAUACCCUUUGGAGCUAGCCGUCUGAUCUCUAAUUGGUAUUGGGUUACGGAUAGCAUGCUGACGGUGAUCUAAUUAUUGGUUAAAAGGUUAGAGCGUGCAUAAAUUCGUUAAGGAUGUUGACGUA